GUAGGGAAUAUUGGACAAUGGGGGGAACCCUGAUCCAGCCAUGCCGCGUGUAGGAAGACUGCCCUCUGGGUUGUAAACUCCUUUUAUAUGGGAAGAACCGUCCUCAUUAAUGAGUGACCUGACGGUACCAUAGGAAUAAGCACCGGCUAACUCCGUGCCAGCAGCCGCGGUAAUACGGAGGGUGCAAGCGUUAUCCGGUUUCACUGGGUUUAAAGGGUGCGUAGGCGGAUAAAUAUGUUAGUGGUGAAAUCAACGGGCGCAACCUGUUAACUGCCAUUGAUACUGUGUAUCUUGAAUAUGAGAGAGGUAGGCGGAAUGUUGCAUGUAGCGGUGAAAUGCUUAGAUAUGCUACGGAACACCGAUUGCGAAGGCAGCUUACUAUUUCGUAAUUGACGCUGAGGCACGAAAGCGUGGGUAGCGAACAGGAUUAGAUACCCUAGUAGUCC
This 446-nucleotide ribosomal RNA is filed under the name uncultured bacterium. RNAcentral's name for it is "partial 16S ribosomal RNA". It matches the Rfam family "Bacterial small subunit ribosomal RNA", at positions 354 to 796 of the family's 1533-position model. The record is from RNAcentral.